AUCCGUCGGAAUAAUGCUGGGGUACGAUGCGGAGCGAAAUUAAGUAGCGAAGUAGCUGAUUUCACACUGUCGAGAAAAGUCUCUAUCGAGGUUAAAGGUGCCUGUACCGCAAACCGACACAGGUGGGUGAGGAGAGUAUCCUAAGGCCAGCGAGAGAACUGUUGUUAAGGAACUCGGCAAAAUGACCCCGUAACUUAGGGAGAAGGGGUGCCUUCGAAAGAAGGCCGCAGAGAAUAGGCCCAAGCGACUGUUUACCAAAAACAUAGGUUUCUGCUAAGUCGCAAGACGAUGUAUGGGAGCUGACGCCUGCCCGGUGCUGGAAGGUUAAGGGGAUCUGUUAGAGCAAUCGAAGCAGUGAACUUAAGCCCCAGUAAACGGCGGCCGUAACUAUAACGGUCCUAAGGUAGCGAAAUUCCUUGUCGGGUAAGUUCCGACCCGCACGAAAGGCGUAACGAUUUGGGCACUGUCUCAACAACAGACUCGGUGAAAUUGUAAUACCGGUGAAGAUGCCGGUUACCUGCGACAGGACGGAAAGACCCCAUGGAGCUUUACUGUAGCUUGACAUUGAGUCUCGGUGCUACAUGUACAGGAUAGGUGGGAGACUAUGAAGCAUGGACGUCAGUCUGUGUGGAGUCAUCCUUGGGAUACCACCCUUGUAGUACUGGGAUUCUAACCAGAGACCAUGAAUCUGGUCUUGGGACACUGUCAGGUGGACAGUUUGACUGGGGCGGUCGCCUCCCAAAAAGUAACGGAGGCGCUCAAAGGUUCUCUCAGUACGGUCGGAAAUCGUACGAAGAGUGUAAAGGCAAAAGAGAGCUUGAUUGCAAGACAUACAGGUCGAGCAAGGACGAAAGUCGGACUUAGUGAUCCGGUGGUUCCGCAUGGAAGGGCCAUCGCUCAACGGAUAAAAGCUACCCUGGGGAUAACAGGCUGAUCUCCCCCAAGAGUCCACAUCGACGGGGAGGUUUGGCACCUCGAUGUCGGCUCAUCACAUCCUGGGGCUGUAGUAGGUCCCAAGGGUUGGGCUGUUCGCCCAUUAAAGUGGUACGCGAGCUGGGUUCAGAACGUCGUGAGACAGUUCGGUCCCUAUCCGUCGCAGGCGCAGGAAAUUUGAGGAGACCUGUCCUUAGUACGAGAGGACCGGGAUGGACGUACCGCUGGUGUACCAGUUGUUCUGCCAAGGGCAUGGCUGGGUAGCUAAGUACGGAAAGGAUAAGCGCUGAAAGCAUCUAAGCGCGAAGCCCACUUCAAGAUAAGAUUUCCCACCGCAAGGUUAAGAUCCCAGGAAGACUACCUGGUUGAUAGGUCAGAGGUGUAAGUGUAGUAAUAUAUUUAGCUUACUGAUACUAAUAGAUCGAGGACUUGACC
RNAcentral lists this ribosomal RNA (1368 nucleotides) under metagenome. Its description in RNAcentral is "bacterial LSU rRNA". It matches the Rfam family "Bacterial large subunit ribosomal RNA", at positions 1540 to 2925 of the family's 2925-position model. The record is from RNAcentral.